GGGAGGUAGUGACAAUAAAUAACAAUACGGGGUUCUAUAGGAUUUCGUAAUUGGAAUGAGUACAAUUUAAAUCUCUUAACGAUCAACAAUUGGAGGGCAAGUCUGGUGCCAGCAGCCGCGGUAAUUCCAGCUCCAAUAGCGUAUAUUAAAGUUGUUGCAGUUAAAAAGCUCGUAGUUGAAUUUCGGGAUUAGUAAGUUGGUCGUGCCUCUGGUAUGUACUGGCUUUACUGGUUCCUCCUUCUUGAAGAACUGUAAUGUCAUUAAUUUGGUGUUGCAGGGAAACAGGACUGUUACUUUGAAAAAAUUAGAGUGUUUAAAGCAGGCUAACGCUUGAAUACAUUAGCAUGGAAUAAUGAAAUAGGACGUUUGAUCCUAUUUUGUUGGUUUCUAGGAUUGACGUAAUGAUUAAUAGGGAUAGUUGGG
Molecule: ribosomal RNA, 423 nt
Filed under: uncultured Glomeraceae
Lineage: Eukaryota; Fungi; Glomeromycota; Glomeromycetes; Glomerales; Glomeraceae
Description: SSU rRNA
Rfam family: Eukaryotic small subunit ribosomal RNA
Source: RNAcentral